Molecule: ribosomal RNA, 253 nt
Filed under: uncultured bacterium
Lineage: Bacteria
Description: partial 16S ribosomal RNA
Rfam family: Bacterial small subunit ribosomal RNA
Source: RNAcentral
UACGUAGGUGGCAAGCGUUGUCCGGAUUUAUUGGGUUUAAAGGGUGCGUAGGCGGUCUAUUAAGUCAGUGGUGAAAUAUCGCAGCUUAACUGUGAGGGUGCCAUUGAUACUGAUGGACUUGAGUGAAGUCGAAGUAGGCGGAAUUGACGGUGUAGCGGUGAAAUGCUUAGAUAUCGUCAAGAACACCUAUAGCGAAGGCAGCUUACUAGGCUGUAACUGACGCUGAGGCACGAAAGUGUGGGGAUCAAACAGG